CCUACGGGAGGCAGCAGUAGGGAAUUUUGCACAAUGGGGGAAACCCUGACGCAGCAACGCCGCGUGAUCGAUGAAGCCCUUCGGUAUGUAAAGAUCUGUCAGUGGGGACGAAACCUACCGGUACCCACAGAGAAAUCACCGGCUAACUCCGUGCCAGCAGCGGCGGUAAUACGGGGGGUGCAAGCGUUGUCCGGAAUUAUUGGGCGUAAAGGGUUCGUAGGUGGCACGUUAAGUCUGGUGUGAAAGGCGGAAGCUCAACUUCCGUAGGGCUGUGGAAACUGGGGAGCUGGAUUGCGGUAGAGGUAAAGGGAAUUCCUGGUGUAGCGGUGAAAUGCGUAGAUAUUAGGAGGAACACCGGUGGCGGAAGCGGUUUACUGGGCCGUAAUUGACAUUGAGGAACGAAAGCGUGGGUAGCAAAUGGGAUUAGAUACCCCUGUAGUC
This 441-nucleotide ribosomal RNA is filed under the name uncultured bacterium. RNAcentral's name for it is "partial 16S ribosomal RNA". It matches the Rfam family "Bacterial small subunit ribosomal RNA", at positions 338 to 795 of the family's 1533-position model. The record is from RNAcentral.